RNAcentral lists this microRNA (24 nucleotides) under Schmidtea mediterranea. RNAcentral describes it as "sme-miR-87b-5p". Its record names the gene sme-miR-87b-5p. Lineage: Eukaryota; Metazoa; Platyhelminthes; Tricladida; Dugesiidae. The record is from miRBase by way of RNAcentral.
UCAUUCGAAAUUUUGCUCAAAUCC